GGGUGAAGGAACUAGGCAAAAUGGUACCGUAACUUCGGGAGAAGGUACGCUCUUGAUGGUGAAGUCCCUUGCGGAUGGAGCUGACGAGAGUCGCAGAUACCAGGUGGCUGCAACUGUUUAUUAAAAACACAGCACUGUGCAAAAUCGUAAGAUGACGUAUACGGUGUGACGCCUGCCCGGUGCCGGAAGGUUAAUUGAUGGGGUUAGACUUCGGUCGAAGCUCUUGAUCGAAGCCCCGGUAAACG
This 245-nucleotide ribosomal RNA is filed under the name Vibrio parahaemolyticus. RNAcentral's name for it is "partial 23S ribosomal RNA". It matches the Rfam family "Bacterial large subunit ribosomal RNA", at positions 1703 to 1929 of the family's 2925-position model. Lineage: Bacteria; Pseudomonadati; Pseudomonadota; Gammaproteobacteria; Vibrionales; Vibrionaceae. The record is from RNAcentral.